Molecule: ribosomal RNA, 482 nt
Filed under: uncultured bacterium
Lineage: Bacteria
Description: partial 16S ribosomal RNA
Rfam family: Bacterial small subunit ribosomal RNA
Source: RNAcentral
AUUGAACGCUGGCGGCAUGCCUUACACAUGCAAAUCGAACGGUAACAGGUCUUCGGAUGCUGACGAGUGGCGAACGGGUGAGUAAUACAUCGGAACGUGCCCGAUCGUGGGGGAUAACGAGGCGAAAGCUUUGCUAAUACCGCAUACGAUCUACGGAUGAAAGCGGGGGAUCUUCGGACCUCGCGCGGACGGAGCGGCCGAUGGCAGAUUAGGUAGUUGGUGGGAUAAAAGCUUACCAAGCCGACGAUCUGUAGCUGGUCUGAGAGGAUGAUCAGCCACACUGGGACUGAGACACGGCCCAGACUCCUACGGGAGGCAGCAGUGGGGAAUUUUGGACAAUGGGCGAAAGCCUGAUCCAGCCAUGCCGCGUGCAGGAUGAAGGCCUUCGGGUUGUAAACUGCUUUUGUACGGAACGAAAAGCCUCUUUCUAAUAAAGAGGGGUCAUGACGGUACCGUAAGAAUAAGCACCGGCUAACUACGUG